AACAUCAGUGUUCGGUUGUCAAGCUUUUGCGCUGGUUGCAAUAGAGGAAUAUAAAUACAUAUAUUCGUCCUCCUAUCCGGAAUACAGCAGUGAUGGUAUCUGCGAAUGGAUGGUAUUCGUAACAGACCCCUGUUUGACAUUAAGUGAAGACACCAGCCAGGAACUACAGCUUGUCGUGGAGGAAUUUAAUUCCACAGGAUCGACAAAGCUCGACAUUUUCCAAGAUGAAUCCACAGAUAAAAAAACGAUUGAAAUUUCCCAGGAAUCGGCUUUGAUUGGACGUCCUCUUUACUUCACUGUAUCCAUGAAUAGAUUCGUUCUGAUUACCGUUCGUCAUUUCACCGAGAGUUCGACAUUCAAAAUGUCAUACAAAGUAA
Long non-coding RNA from Pecten maximus, 377 nucleotides. RefSeq lists it as uncharacterized. The record is from RefSeq and is a predicted model, not a curated record. Lineage: Eukaryota; Metazoa; Mollusca; Bivalvia; Pectinida; Pectinidae. The transcript is spliced from 3 exons.